RNAcentral lists this ribosomal RNA (388 nucleotides) under uncultured bacterium. Its description in RNAcentral is "bacterial SSU rRNA". It matches the Rfam family "Bacterial small subunit ribosomal RNA", at positions 29 to 417 of the family's 1533-position model. The record is from RNAcentral.
AUUGAACGCUGGCGGCAUGCUUUACACAUGCAAGUCGAGCGGCAGCGCGGGGGCAACCCUGGCGGCGAGCGGCGAACGGGUGAGUAAUGCAUCGGAACGUACCCUGGAGUGGGGGGAUAACGCCGCGAAAGCGGCGCUAAUACCGCAUAUGCUCUGAGGAGGAAAGUGGGGGACCGCAAGGCCUCACGCUCUGGGAGCGGCCGAUGUCCGAUUAGCUAGUUGGUGAGGUAAAGGCUUACCAAGGCGACGAUCGGUAGCUGGUCUGAGAGGAUGAUCAGCCACACUGGGACUGAGACACGGCCCAGACUCCUACGGGAGGCAGCAGUGGGGAAUUUUGGACAAUGGGCGCAAGCCUGAUCCAGCCAUGCCGCGUGAGUGAAGAAGGCCU